UACGUAGGGGGCAAGCGUUGUCCGGAUUUAUUGGGCGUAAAGAGCGUGUAGGCGGCCGUACAGGUCAGCUGUGAAAACUCGAGGCUCAACCUCGAGACGUCGGUUGAAACCGUACGGCUAGAGUCCGUAAGAGGAGAGUGGAAUUCCCGGUGUAGCGGUGAAAUGCGCAGAUAUCGGGAAGAACACCCGUGGCGAAGGCGGCUCUCUGGGACGGUACUGACGCUGAGACGCGAAAGCGUGGGGAGCGAACAGG
RNAcentral lists this ribosomal RNA (253 nucleotides) under uncultured bacterium. RNAcentral's name for it is "partial 16S ribosomal RNA". It matches the Rfam family "Bacterial small subunit ribosomal RNA", at positions 524 to 776 of the family's 1533-position model. The record is from RNAcentral.